RNAcentral lists this ribosomal RNA (420 nucleotides) under bacterium. Its description in RNAcentral is "partial 16S ribosomal RNA". It matches the Rfam family "Bacterial small subunit ribosomal RNA", at positions 355 to 776 of the family's 1533-position model. The record is from RNAcentral.
UGGGGGAUAUUGCACAAUGGGCGAAAGCCUGAUGCAGCGACGCCGCGUGGGGGAUGAAGGCUUUCGGGUUGUAAACCUCUUUCGCUAUCGAACAAGGCCCGCUUAGGGUGGGUUGAGGGUAGGGGGAGAAGAAGCGCCGGCUAACUACGUGCCAGCAGCCGCGGUAAUACGUAGGGCGCGAGCGUUGUCCGGAAUUAUUGGGCGUAAAGGGCUUGUAGGCGGCUUGUUGCGCCUGCUGUGAAAACGCGGGGCUUAACUUCGCGCGUGCAGUGGGUACGGGCAGGCUUGAGUGUGGUAGGGGUGACUGGAAUUCCAGGUGUAGCGGUGGAAUGCGCAGAUAUCUGGAGGAACACCGAUGGCGAAGGCAGGUCACUGGGCCAUUACUGACGCUGAGGAGCGAAAGCAUGGGUAGCGAACAGG